This 485-nucleotide ribosomal RNA is filed under the name uncultured bacterium. Its description in RNAcentral is "partial 16S ribosomal RNA". It matches the Rfam family "Bacterial small subunit ribosomal RNA", at positions 28 to 507 of the family's 1533-position model. The record is from RNAcentral.
GAUGAACGCUAGCGACAGGCUUAACACAUGCAAGUCGAGGGGCAGCACAGUUAGCACUAGCGGGUGGCGACCGGCGCACGGGUGAGUAACGCGUAUGCAACUUACCUCUCAGAGGGGGAUAACUCGGCGAAAGUCGGUCUAAUACCGCAUGAAGCAGGGGUCCCGCAUGGGGAUAUUUGCUAAAGAUUCAUCGCUGAUAGAUACGCAUGCGUUCCAUUUGGCAGGUGGCGGGGUAACGGCCCACCAAUCCGACGAUGGAAAGGGGUUCUGAGGGUGAGGUCCCGCGCAGUGGGACGGACACACUGGCCAAGCGCCAACGGGAGGCAGCAGUGGGGAAUAUGGGGCAGUGGACGAGACGCUAAACCAGCCAAGUCGCGUGAGGGAUGACGGUUCUGUGGAUCGUGACCCUCUGUUGUAAGCGCAUAUAGCGCGGGACGUGUCCCUUUUUGAAGGUACCUUAUGAAUAAGGAUCGGCUAACUACGUG